GUGAAUCAUCAAAUUUUUGAACGCAAAUUGCACUCUCCUCGGAGAGUAUGCCUGUUUGAGGGUCAGCCUAUAAAAAAUCGACAUCGUUGCUGCUUCGCGGUGGCGUUCGUCGGAAAUUGGGUCAUCUUAAAUCCUUUUGAUUUAAGCGACUUAAAAAUUUUUUUUACGAUUCUAAGAAUGUUUCUAAGAUUUAUUUCUUUACACGUUUAAGGUAUCGAUUUUUAUUAGACGUGGCCGUCAUAUCGGAUCGCGUCCAUAAUUUUUCGCUAACUGACCUCAGACAGGUAAGAGUACCCGCUGA
Molecule: unclassified non-coding RNA, 301 nt
Filed under: Glomeraceae sp.
Lineage: Eukaryota; Fungi; Glomeromycota; Glomeromycetes; Glomerales; Glomeraceae
Description: partial contains 5.8S ribosomal RNA and internal transcribed spacer 2
Rfam family: 5.8S ribosomal RNA (bases 1-65)
Source: RNAcentral